GCUGGGUAUAGUGGCAUGCUCCUGUAAUCCCAAUUUACUUGGGAGACUGAGGCAGGAGGAUUACUUGAGCCCAGGAGCCCAAGGUCAGUCUGGGCAACAUAGCAAAAUCCUGUCUCAA
Molecule: small RNA, 118 nt
Filed under: Marmota monax (woodchuck)
Lineage: Eukaryota; Metazoa; Chordata; Mammalia; Rodentia; Sciuridae
Source: RNAcentral